GUUGGAGCUAGGGUUAGGGUUGGGCUUGGAGCUAGGAUUUUUCUGAGUGCAAUGAACCAACCCCCGAGUCUCUAGGACGUCCCAAAAAAAAUUUGAUUUUUUCCCAUAGGAAUGCAUGGGUUAGGGUUAUGGUAAGGGUUAGGGUUGGAGCUAGGGUUAGGGUUAGGGUUAGGGUUGGAGUUAGGGUUAGUGUUGGAGCUAGGGUUAGGGUUGGGCUUGGAGCUAGGAUUUUUCUGAGUGCAAUGAACCAACUCCCGAGUCUCUAGGACAUUCCUAAAAAAAUUUGAUUUUUUCCCAUAGGAAUGCAUGGGUUAGGGUUAGGGUUAGGGUUGGAGCUAGGGUUAGGGUUAGGGUUAGGGUUGGAGUUAGGGUUAGUGUUGGAGCUAGGGUUAGGGUUGGGCUUGGAGCUAGGAUUUUUCUGAGUGCAAUGAACCAACUCCCGAGUCUCUUGGACGUUCCUAAAAAAAUUUGAUUUUUUCCCAUAGGAAUGCAUGGGUUAGGGUUAGGGUUAGGGUUGGAGCUAGGGUUAGGGUUAGGGUUAGGGUUGGAGUUAGGGUUAGUGUUGGAGCUAGGGUUAGGGUUGGGCUUGGAGCUAGGAUUUUUCUGAGUGCACUGAACCAACUCCCGAGUCUCUAGGACAUUCCUAAAAAAAUUUGAUUUUUUCCCAUAGGAAUGCAUGGGUUAGGGUUAUGGUUAGGGUUAGGGUUGGAGCUAGGGUUAGGGUUAGGGUUAGGGUUGGAGUUAGGGUUAGUGUUGGAGCUAGGGUUAGGGUUGGGCUUGGAGCUAGGAUUUUUCUGAGUGCAAUGAACCAACUCCCGAGUCUCUUGGACGUUCCUAAAAAAAUUUGAUUUUUUUCCAUAGGAAUGCAUGGGUUAGGGUUAGGGUUAGGGUUGGAGCUAGGGUUAGGGUUAGGGUUAGGGUUGGAGUUAGGGUUAGUGUUGGAGCUAGGGUUAGGGUUGGGCUUGGAGCUAGGAUUUUUCUGAGUGCACUGAACCAACUCCCGAGUCUCUAGGACAUUCCUAAAAAAAUUUGAUUUUUUCCCAUAGGAAUGCAUGGGUUAGGGUUAGGGUUAGGGUUGGAGCUAGGGUUAGGGUUAGGGUUAGGGUUGGAGUUAGGGUUAGUGUUGGAGCUAGGGUUAGGGUUGGGCUUGGAGCUAGGAUUUUUCUGAGUGCACUGAACCAACUCUCGAGUCUCUAGGACAUUCCUAAAAAAAUUUGAUUUUUUCCCAUAGGAAUGCAUGGGUUAGGGUUAGGGUUAGUGUUGGAGCUAGGGUUAGGGUUGGGCUUGGAGCUAGGAUUUUUCUGAGUGCAAUGAACCAACUCCCGAGUCUCUAGGACGUUCCUAAAAAAAUUUGAUUUUUUCCCAUAGGAAUGCAUGGGUUAGGGUUAGGGUUAGGGUUGGAGCUAGGGUUAGGGUUAGGGUUAGGGUUCGAGUUAAGGUUAGUGUUGGAGCUAGGGUUAGGGUUGGGCUUGGAGCUAGGAUUUUUCUGAGUGCAAUGAACCAACUCCCGAGUCUCUAGGACGUUCCUAAAAAAAUUUGAUUUUUUCCCAUAGGAAUGCAUGGGUUAGGGUUAUGGUUAGGGUUAGGGUUGGAGCUAGGGUUAGGGUUAGGGUUAGGGUUGGAGUAAGGGUUAGUGUUGGAGCUAGGGUUAGGGUUGGGCUUGGAGCUAGGAUUUUUCUGAGUGCAAUGAACCAACUCCCGAGUCUCUAGGACGUUCCUAAAAAAAUUUGAUUUUUUCCCAUAGGAAUGCAUGGAUUAGGGUUAGGGUUAGGGUUGGAGCUAGGGUUAGGGUUAGGGUUAGGGUUGGAGUUAGGGUUAGUGUUGGAGCUAGGGUUAGGGUUGGGCUUGGAGCUAGGAUUUUUCUGAGUGCAAUGAACCAACUCCCGAGUCUCUAGGACGUUCCUAAAAAAAUUUGAUUUUUUCCCAUAGGAAUGCAUGGGUUAGGGUUAGGGUUAGGGUUGGAGCUAGGGUUAGGGUUAGGGUUAGGGUUGGAGUUAGGGUUAGUGUUGGAGCUAGGGUUAGGGUUGGGCUUGGAGCUAGGAUUUUUCUGAGUGCACUGAACCAACUCCCGAGUCUCUAGGACAUUCCUAAAAAAAUUUGAUUUUUUCCCAUAGGAAUGCAUGGGUUAGGGUUAGGGUUAGGGUUGGAGCUAGGGUUAGGGUUAGGGUUAGGGUUGGAGUUAGGGUUAGUGUUGGAGCUAGGGUUAGGGUUGGGCUUGGAGCUAGGAUUUUUCUGAGUGCACUGAACCAACUCCCGAGUCUCUAGGACAUUCCUAAAAAAAUUUGAUUUUUUCCCAUAGGAAUGCAUGGGUUAGGGUUAGGGUUAGGGUUGGAGCUAGGGUUAGGGUUAGGGUUAGGGUUGGAGUUAGGGUUAGUGUUGGAGCUAGGGUUAGGGUUGGGCUUGGAGCUAGGAUUUUUCUGAGUGCAAUGAACCAACCCCCGAGUCUCUAGGACGUCCCAAAAAAAAUUUGAUUUUUUCCCAUAGGAAUGCAUGGGUUAGGGUUAUGGUAAGGGUUAGGGUUGGAGCUAGGGUUAGGGUUAGGGUUAGGGUUGGAGUUAGGGUUAGUGUUGGAGCUAGGGUUAGGGUUGGGCUUGGAGCUAGGAUUUUUCUGAGUGCAAUGAACCAACUCCCGAGUCUCUAGGACAUUCCUAAAAAAAUUUGAUUUUUUCCCAUAGGAAUGCAUGGGUUAGGGUUAGGGUUAGGGUUGGAGCUAGGGUUAGGGUUAGGGUUAGGGUUGGAGUUAGGGUUAGUGUUGGAGCUAGGGUUAGGGUUGGGCUUGGAGCUAGGAUUUUUCUGAGUGCAAUGAACCAACUCCCGAGUCUCUUGGACGUUCCUAAAAAAAUUUGAUUUUUUCCCAUAGGAAUGCAUGGGUUAGGGUUAGGGUUAGGGUUGGAGCUAGGGUUAGGGUUAGGGUUAGGGUUGGAGUUAGGGUUAGUGUUGGAGCUAGGGUUAGGGUUGGGCUUGGAGCUAGGAUUUUUCUGAGUGCAAUGAACCAACUCCCGAGUCUCUAGGACGUUCCUAAAAAAAUUUGAUUUUUUCCCAUAGGAAUGCAUGGGUUAGGGUUAGGGUUAGGGUUGGAGCUAGGGUUAGGGUUAGGGUUAGGGUUGGAGUUAAGGUUAGUGUUGGAGCUAGGGUUAGGGUUGGGCUUGGAGCUAGGAUUUUUCUGAGUGCAAUGAACCAACUCCCGAGUCUCUAGGACGUUCCUAAAAAAAUUUGAUUUUUUCCCAUAGGAAUGCAUGGGUUAGGGUUAUGGUUAGGGUUAGGGUUGGAGCUAGGGUUAGGGUUAGGGUUAGGGUUGGAGUUAGGGUUAGUGUUGGAGCUAGGGUUAGGGUUGGGCUUGGAGCUAGGAUUUUUCUGAGUGCAAUGAACCAACCCCCGAGUCUCUAGGACGUUCCUAAAAAAAUUUGAUUUUUUCCCAUAGGAAUGCAUGGGUUAGGGUUAUGGUUAGGGUUAGGGUUGGAGCUAGGGUUAGGGUUAGGGUUAGGGUUGGAGUUAGGGUUAGUGUUGGAGCUAGGGUUAGGGUUGGGCUUGGAGCUAGGAUUUUUCUGAGUGCAAUGAACCAACUCCCGAGUCUCUAGGACGUUCCUAAAAAAAUUUGAUUUUUUCCCAUAGGAAUGCAUGGGUUAGGGUUAGGGUUAGGGUUGGAGCUAGGGUUAGGGUUAGGGUUAGGGUUGGAGUUAGGGUUAGUGUUGGAGCUAGGGUUAGGGUUGGGCUUGGAGCUAGGAUUUUUCUGAGUGCACUGAACCAACUCCCGAGUCUCUAGGACAUUCCUAAAAAAAUUUGAUUUUUUCCCAUAGGAAUGCAUGGGUUAGGGUUAGGGUUAGGGUUGGAGCUAGGGUUAGGGUUAGGGUUAGGGUUGGAGUUAGGGUUAGUGUUGGAGCUAGGGUUAGGGUUGGGCUUGGAGCUAGGAUUUUUCUGAGUGCACUGAACCAACUCCCGAGUCUCUAGGACAUUCCUAAUAAAAUUUGAUUUUUUCCAAUAGGAAUGCAUGGGUUAGGGUUAGGGUUAGGGUUGGAGCUAGGGUUAGGGUUAGGGUUAGGGUUGGAGUUAGGGUUAGUGUUGGAGCUAGGGUUAGGGUUGGGCUUGGAGCUAGGAUUUUUCUGAGUGCACUGAACCAACUCCCGAGUCUCUAGGACAUUCCUAAAAAAAUUUGAUUUUUUCCCAUAGGAAUGCAUGGGUUAGGGUUAUGGUUAGGGUUAGGGUUGGAGCUAGGGUUAGGGUUAGGGUUAGGGUUGGAGUUAGGGUUAGUGUUGGAGCUAGGGUUAGGGUUGGGCUUGGAGCUAAGGAUUUUUCUGAGUGCAAUGAACCAACUCCCGAGUCUCUUGGACGUUCCUAAAAAAAUUUGAUUUUUUUCCAUAGGAAUGCAUGGGUUAGGGUUAGGGUUAGGGUUGGAGCUAGGGUUAGGGUUAGGGUUAGGGUUGGAGUUAGGGUUAGUGUUGGAGCUAGGGUUAGGGUUGGGCUUGGAGCUAGGAUUUUUCUGAGUGCACUGAACCAACUCCCGAGUCUCUAGGACAUUCCUAAAAAAAUUUGAUUUUUUCCCAUAGGAAUGCAUGGGUUAGGGUUAGGGUUAGGGUUGGAGCUAGGGUUAGGGUUAGGGUUAGGGUUGGAGUUAGGGUUAGUGUUGGAGCUAGGGUUAGGGUUGGGCUUGGAGCUAGGAUUUUUCUGAGUGCACUGAACCAACUCUCGAGUCUCUAGGACAUUCCUAAAAAAAUUUGAUUUUUUCCCAUAGGAAUGCAUGGGUUAGGGUUAUGGUUAGGGUUAGGGUUGGAGCUAGGGUUAGGGUUAGGGUUAGGGUUGGAGUUAGGGUUAGUGUUGGAGCUAGGGUUAGGGUUGGGCUUGGAGCUAGGAUUUUUCUGAGUGCAAUGAACCAACUCCCGAGUCUCUUGGACGUUCCUAAAAAAAUUUGAUUUUUUCCCAUAGGAAUGCAUGGGUUAGGGUUAGGGUUAGGGUUGGAGCUAGGGUUAGGGUUAGGGUUAGGGUUGGAGUUAGGGUUAGUGUUGGAGCUAGGGUUAGGGUUGGGCUUGGAGCUAGGAUUUUUCUGAGUGCACUGAACCAACUCCCGAGUCUCUGGGACAUUCCUAAAAAAAUUUGAUUUUUUCCCAUAGGAAUGCAUGGGUUAGGGUUAGGGUUAGGCUUGGAGCUAGGGUUAGGGUUAGGGUUAGGGUUGGAGUUAGGGUUAGUGUUGGAGCUAGGGUUAGGGUUGGGCUUGGAGCUAGGAUUUUUCUGAGUGCACUGAACCAACUCCCGAGUCUCUAGGACAUUCCUAAAAAAAUUUGAUUUUUUUCCCAUAGGAAUGCAUGGGUUAGGGUUAGGGUUAGGGUUAGGGUUGGAGCUAGGGUUAGGGUUAGGGUUAGGGUUGGAGUUAGGGUUAGUGUUGGAGCUAGGGUUAGGGUUGGGCUUGGAGCUAGGAUUUUUCUGAGUGCACUGAACCAACUCCCGAGUCUCUAGGACAUUCCUAAAAAAAUUGAUUUUUUCCCAUAGGAAUGCAUGGGUUAGGGUUAUGGUUAGGGUUAGGGUUGGAGCUAGGGUUAGGGUUAGGGUUAGGGUUGGAGUUAGGGUUAGUGUUGGAGCUAGGGUUAGGGUUGGGCUUGGAGCUAGGAUUUUUCUGAGUGCACUGAACCAACUCCCGAGUCUCUAGGACGUUCCUAAAAAAAAUUUAAUUUUUUCCCAUAGGAAUGCAUGGGUUAGGGUUAGGGUUAGGGUUGGAGCUAGGGUUAGGGUUAGGGUUAGGGUUGGAGUUAGGGUUAGUGUUGGAGCUAGGGUUAGGGUUGGGCUUGGAGCUAGGAUUUUUCUGAGUGCAAUGAACCAACUCCCGAGUCUCUAGGACGUUCCUAAAAAAAUUUGAUUUUUUCCCAUAGGAAUGCAUGGGUUAGGGUUAGGGUUAGGGUUGGAGCUAGGGUUAGGGUUAGGGUUAGGGUUGGAGUUAAGGUUAGUGUUGGAGCUAGGGUUAGGGUUGGGCUUGGAGCUAGGAUUUUUCUGAGUGCACUGAACCAACUCCCGAGUCUCUAGGACGUUCCUAAAAAAAUUUGAUUUUUUCCCAUAGGAAUGCAUGGGUUAGGGUUAUGGUUAGGGUUAGGGUUGGAGCUAGGGUUAGGGUUAGGGUUAGGGUUGGAGUUAGGGUUAGUGUUGGAGCUAGGGUUAGGGUUGGGCUUGGAGCUAGGAUUUUUCUGAGUGCAAUGAACCAACCCCCGAGUCUCUAGGACGUUCCUAAAAAAAUCUGAUUUUUUCCCAUAGGAAUGCAUGGGUUAGGGUUAUGGUUAGGGUUAGGGUUGGAGCUAGGGUUAGGGUUAGGGUUAGGGAUGGAGUUAGGGUUAGUGUUGGAGCUAGGGUUAGGGUUGGGCUUGGAGCUAGGAUUUUUCUGAGUGCAAUGAACCAACUCCCGAGUCUCUAGGACGUUCCUAAAAAAAUUUGAUUUUUUCCCAUAGGAAUGCAUGGAUUAGGGUUAGGGUUAGGGUUGGAGCUAGGGUUAGGGUUAGGGUUAGGGUUGGAGUUAGGGUUAGUGUUGGAGCUAGGGUUAGGGUUGGGCUUGGAGCUAGGAUUUUUCUGAGUGCAAUGAACCAACUCCCGAGUCUCUAGGACGUUCCUAAAAAAAUUUGAUUUUUUCCCAUAGGAAUGCAUGGGUUAGGGUUAGGGUUAGGGUUGGAGCUAGGGUUAGGGUUAGGGUUAGGGUUGGAGUUAGGGUUAGUGUUGGAGCUAGGGUUAGGGUUGGGCUUGGAGCUAGGAUUUUUCUGAGUGCACUGAACCAACUCCCGAGUCUCUAGGACAUUCCUAAAAAAAUUUGAUUUUUUCCCAUAGGAAUGCAUGGGUUAGGGUUAGGGUUAGGGUUGGAGCUAGGGUUAGGGUUAGGGUUAGGGUUGGAGUUAGGGUUAGUGUUGGAGCUAGGGUUAGGGUUGGGCUUGGAGCUAGGAUUUUUCUGAGUGCACUGAACCAACUCCCGAGUCUCUAGGACAUUCCUAAAAAAAUUUGAUUUUUUCCCAUAGGAAUGCAUGGGUUAGGGUUAUGGUUAGGGUUAGGGUUGGAGCUAGGGUUAGGGUUAGGGUUAGGGUUGGAGUUAGGGUUAGUGUUGGAGCUAGGGUUAGGGUUGGGCUUGGAGCUAGGAUUUUUCUGAGUGCACUGAACCAACUCCCGAGUCUCUAGGACAUUCCUAAAAAAAUUUGAUUUUUUCCCAUAGGAAUGCAUGGGUUAGGGUUAGGGUUAGGGUUGGAGCUAGGGUUAGGGUUAGGGUUAGGGUUGGAGUUAGGGUUAGUGUUGGAGCUAGGGUAAGGGUUGGGCUUGGAGCUAGGAUUUUUCUGAGUGCAAUGAACCAACUCCCGAGUCUCUUGGACGUUCCUAAAAAAAUUGAUUUUUUCCCAUAGGAAUGCAUGGGUUAGGGUUAGGGUUAGGGUUGGAGCUAGGGUUAGGGUUAGGGUUUGGGUUGGAGUUAGGGUUAGUGUUGGAGCUAGGGUUAGGGUUGGGCUUGGAGCUAGGAUUUUUCUGAGUGCAAUGAACCAACUCCCGAGUCUCUAGGACGUUCCUAAAAAAAUUUGAUUUUUUCCCAUAGGAAUGCAUGGGUUAGGGUUAGGGUUAGGGUUAGGGUUGGAGCUAGGGUUAGGGUUAGGGUUAGGGUUAGGGUUGGAGUUAGGGUUAGUGUUGGAGCUAGGGUUAGGGUUGGGCUUGGAGCUAGGAUUUUUCUGAGUGCAAUGAACCAACUCCCGAGUCUCUAGGACGUUCCUAAAAAAAUUUGAUUUUUUCCCAUAGGAAUGCAUGGGUUAGGGUUAUGGUUAGGGUUAGGGUUGGAGCUAGGGUUAGGGUUAGGGUUAGGGUUGGAGUUAGGGUUAGUGUUGGAGCUAAGGUUAGGGUUGGGCUUGGAGCUAGGAUUUUUCUGAGUGCAAUGAACCAACUCCCGAGUCUCUAGGACGUUCCUAAAAAAAUUUGAUUUUUUCCCAUAGGAAUGCAUGGGUUAGGGUUAGGGUUAGGGUUGGAGCUAGGGUUAGGGUUAGGGUUAGGGUUGGAGUUAGGGUUAGUGUUGGAGCUAGGGUUAGGGUUGGGCUUGGAGCUAGGAUUUUUCUGAGUGCACUGAACCAACUCCCGAGUCUCUAGGACAUUCCUAAAAAAUUUGAUUUUUUUCCCAUAGGAAUGCAUGGGUUAGGGUUAGGGUUAGGGUUAGGGUUGGAGCUAGGGUUAGGGUUAGGGUUAGGGUUGGAGUUAGGGUUAGUGUUGGAGCUAGGGUUAGGGUUGGGCUUGGAGCUAGGAUUUUUCUGAGUGCACUGAACCAACUCCCGAGUCUCUAGGACAUUCCUAAAAAAAAUUGAUUUUUUCCCAUAGGAAUGCAUGGGUUAGGGUUAUGGUUAGGGUUAGGGUUGGAGCUAGGGUUAGGGUUAGGGUUAGGGUUGGAGUUAGGGUUAGUGUUGGAGCUAGGGUUAGGGUUGGGCUUGGAGCUAGGAUUUUUCUGAGUGCAAUGAACCAACUCCCGAGUCUCUUGGACGUUCCUAAAAAAAUUUGAUUUUUUCCCAUAGGAAUGCAUGGGUUAGGGUUAGGGUUAGGGUUGGAGCUAGGGUUAGGGUUAGGGUUGGAGUUAGGGUUAGUGUUGGAGCUAGGGUUAGGGUUGGGCUUGGAGCUAGGAUUUUUCUGAGUGCAAUGAACCAACUCCCGAGUCUCUAGGACGUUCCAAAAAAAUUUGAUUUUUUCCCAUAGGAAUGCAUGGGUUAGGGUUAGGGUUAGGGUUGGAGCUAGGGUUAGGGUUAGGGUUAGGGUUGGAGUUAAGGUUAGUGUUGGAGCUAGGGUUAGGGUUGGGCUUGGAGCUAGGAUUUUUCUGAGUGCACUGAACCAACUCCCGAGUCUCUAGGACGUUCCUAAAAAAAUUUGAUUUUUUCCCAUAGGAAUGCAUGGGUUAGGGUUAUGGUUAGGGUUAGGGUUGGAGCUAGGGUUAGGGUUAGGGUUAGGGUUGGAGUUAGGGUUAGUGUUGGAGCUAGGGUUAGGGUUGGGCUUGGAGCUAGGAUUUUUCUGAGUGCAAUGAACCAACCCCCGAGUCUCUAGGACGUUCCUAAAAAAAUCUGAUUUUUUCCCAUAGGAAUGCAUGGGUUAGGGUUAUGGUUAGGGUUAGGGUUGGAGCUAGGGUUAGGGUUAGGGUUAGGGAUGGAGUUAGGGUUAGUGUUGGAGCUAGGGUUAGGGUUGGGCUUGGAGCUAGGAUUUUUCUGAGUGCAAUGAACCAACUCCCGAGUCUCUAGGACGUUCCUAAAAAAAUUUGAUUUUUUCCCAUAGGAAUGCAUGGGUUAGGGUUAUGGUUAGGGUUAGGGUUGGAGCUAGGGUUAGGGUUAGGGUUGGAGUUAGGGUUAGUGUUGGAGCUAGGGUUAGGGUUGGGCUUGGAGCUAGGAUUUUUCUGAGUGCAAUGAACCAACUCCCGAGUCUCUAGGACGUUCCUAAAAAAAUUUGAUUUUUUCCCAUAGGAAUGCAUGGGUUAGGGUUAGGGUUAGGGUUAGGGUUGGAGCUAGGGUUAGGGUUAGGGUUAGGGUUGGAGUUAGGGUUAGUGUUGGAGCUAGGGUUAGGGUUGGGCUUGGAGCUAGGAUUUUUCUGAGUGCACUGAACCAACUCCCGAGUCUCUAGGACAUUCCUAAAAAAAUUUGAUUUUUUCCCAUAGGAAUGCAUGGGUUAGGGUUAUGGUUAGGGUUAGGGUUGGAGCUAGGGUUAGGGUUAGGGUUAGGGUUGGAGUUAGGGUUAGUGUUGGAGCUAGGGUUAGGGUUGGGCUUGGAGCUAGGAUUUUUCUGAGUGCACUGAACCAACUCCCGAGUCUCUAGGACAUUCCUAAAAAAAUUUGAUUUUUUCCCAUAGGAAUGCAUGGGUUAGGGUUAUGGUUAGGGUUAGGGUUGGAGCUAGGGUUAGGGUUAGGGUUAGGGUUGGAGUUAGGGUUAGUGUUGGAGCUAGGGUUAGGGUUGGGCUUGGAGCUAGGAUUUUUCUGAGUGCACUGAACCAACUCCCGAGUCUCUAGGACAUUCCUAAAAAAAUUUGAUUUUUUCCCAUAGGAAUGCAUGGGUUAGGGUUAUGGUUAGGGUUAGGGUUGGAGCUAGGGUUAGGGUUAGGGUUAGGGUUGGAGUUAGGGUUAGUGUUGGAGCUAGGGUAAGGGUUGGGCUUGGAGCUAGGAUUUUUCUGAGUGCAAUGAACCAACUCCCGAGUCUCUUGGACGUUCCUAAAAAAAUUGAUUUUUUCCCAUAGGAAUGCAUGGGUUAGGGUUAGGGUUAGGGUUGGAGCUAGGGUUAGGGUUAGGGUUUGGGUUGGAGUUAGGGUUAGUGUUGGAGCUAGGGUUAGGGUUGGGCUUGGAGCUAGGAUUUUUCUGAGUGCAAUGAACCAACUCCCGAGUCUCUAGGACGUUCCUAAAAAAAUUUGAUUUUUUCCCAUAGGAAUGCAUGGGUUAGGGUUAGGGUUAGGGUUGGAGCUAGGGUUAGGGUUAGGGUUAGGGUUGGAGUUAAGAUUAGUGUUGGAGCUAGGGUUAGGGUUGGGCUUGGAGCUAGGAUUUUUCUGAGUGCAAUGAACCAACUCCCGAGUCUCUAGGACGUUCCUAAAAAAAUUUGAUUUUUUCCCAUAGGAAUGCAUGGGUUAGGGUUAUGGUUAGGGUUAGGGUUGGAGCUAGGGUUAGGGUUAGGGUUAGGGUUGGAGUUAGGGUUAGUGUUGGAGCUAAGGUUAGGGUUGGGCUUGGAGCUAGGAUUUUUCUGAGUGCAAUGAACCAACUCCCGAGUCUCUAGGACGUUCCUAAAAAAAUUUGAUUUUUUCCCAUAGGAAUGCAUGGGUUAGGGUUAGGGUUAGGGUUAGGGUUGGAGCUAGGGUUAGGGUUAGGGUUAGGGUUGGAGUUAGGGUUAGUGUUGGAGCUAGGGUUAGGGUUGGGCUUGGAGCUAGGAUUUUUCUGAGUGCACUGAACCAACUCCCGAGUCUCUAGGACAUUCCUAAAAAAAUUUGAUUUUUUCCCAUAGGAAUGCAUGGGUUAGGGUUAUGGUUAGGGUUGGAGCUAGGGUUAGGGUUAGGGUUAGGGUUGGAGUUAGGGUUAGUGUUGGAGCUAGGGUUAGGGUUGGGCUUGGAGCUAGGAUUUUUCUGAGUGCAAUGAACCAACUCCCGAGUCUCUUGGACGUUCCUAAAAAAAUUUGAUUUUUUCCCAUAGGAAUGCAUGGGUUAGGGUUAGGGUUAGGGUUGGAGCUAGGGUUAGGGUUAGGGUUAGGGUUGGAGUUAGGGUUAGUGUUGGAGCUAGGGUUAGGGUUGGGCUUGGAGCUAGGAUUUUUCUGAGUGCAAUGAACCAACUCCCGAGUCUCUAGGACGUUCCUAAAAAAUUUGAUUUUUUCCCAUAGGAAUGCAUGGGUUAGGGUUAUGGUUAGGGUUAGGGUUGGAGCUAGGGUUAGGGUUAGGGUUAGGGUUGGAGUUAGGGUUAGUGUUGGAGCUAGGGUUAGGGUUGGGCUUGGAGCUAGGAUUUUUCUGAGUGCAAUGAACCAACUCCCGAGUCUCUAGGACGUUCCAAAAAAAAUUUGAUUUUUUCCCAUAGGAAUGCAUGGGUUAGGGUUAUGGUUAGGGUUAGGGUUGGAGCUAGGGUUAGGGUUAGGGUUAGGGUUGGAGUUAGGGUUAGUGUUGGAGCUAGGGUUAGGGUUGGGCUUGGAGCUAGGAUUUUUCUGAGUGCAAUGAACCAACUCCCGAGUCUCUUGGACGUUCCUAAAAAAAUUUGAUUUUUUCCCAUAGGAAUGCAUGGGUUAGGGUUAGGGUUAGGGUUGGAGCUAGGGUUAGGGUUAGGGUUAGGGUUGGAGUUAGGGUUAGUGUUGGAGCUAGGGUUAGGGUUGGGCUUGGAGCUAGGAUUUUUCUGAGUGCACUGAACCAACUCCCGAGUCUCUAGGACAUUCCUAAAAAAAUUUGAUUUUUUCCCAUAGGAAUGCAUGGGUUAGGGUUAUGGUUAGGGUUAGGGUUGGAGCUAGGGUUAGGGUUAGGGUUAGGGUUGGAGUUAGGGUUAGUGUUGGAGCUAGGGUAAGGGUUGGGCUUGGAGCUAGGAUUUUUCUGAGUGCAAUGAACCAACUCCCGAGUCUCUUGGACGUUCCUAAAAAAAUUGAUUUUUUCCCAUAGGAAUGCAUGGGUUAGGGUUAGGGUUAGGGUUGGAGCUAGGGUUAGGGUUAGGGUUUGGGUUGGAGUUAGGGUUAGUGUUGGAGCUAGGGUUAGGGUUGGGCUUGGAGCUAGGAUUUUUCUGAGUGCAAUGAACCAACUCCCGAGUCUCUAGGACGUUCCUAAAAAAAUUUGAUUUUUUUCCCAUAGGAAUGCAUGGGUUAGGGUUAGGGUUAGGGUUGGAGCUAGGGUUAGGGUUAGGGUUAGGGUUGGAGAUAAGGUUAGUGUUGGAGCUAGGGUUAGGGUUGGGCUUGGAGCUAGGAUUUUUCUGAGUGCAAUGAACCAACUCCCGAGUCUCUAGGACGUUCCUAAAAAAUUUGAUUUUUUCCCAUAGGAAUGCAUGGGUUAGGGUUAUGGUUAGGGUUAGGGUUGGAGCUAGGGUUAGGGUUAGGGUUAGGGUUGGAGUUAGGGUUAGUGUUGGAGCUAGGGUUAGGGUUGGGCUUGGAGCUAGGAUUUUUCUGAGUGCAAUGAACCAACUCCCGAGUCUCUAGGACGUUCCUAAAAAAAUUUGAUUUUUUCCCAUUGGGAAUGCAUGGGUUAGGGUUAUGGUUAGGGUUAGGGUUGGAGCUAGGGUUAGGGUUAGGGUUAGGGUUGGAGUUAGGGUUAGUGUUGGAGCUAGGGUUAGGGUUGGGCUUGGAGCUAGGAUUUUUCUAAGUGCAAUGAACCAACUCCCGAGUCUCUAGGACGUUCCUAAAAAAAAUUGAUUUUUUCCCAUAGGAAUGCAUGGGUUAGGGUUAGGGUUAGGGUUGGAGCUAGGGUUAGGGUUAGGGUUAGGGUUGGAGUUAGGGUUAGUGUUGGAGCUAGGGUUAGGGUUGGGCUUGGAGCUAGGAUUUUUCUGAGUGCAAUGAACCAACUCCCGAGUCUCUAGGACGUUCCUAAAACAAUUUGAUUUUUUCCCAUAGGAAUGCAUGGGUUAGGGUUAGGGUUAGGGUUGGAGCUAGGGUUAGGGUUAGGGUUAGGGUUGGAGUUAGGGUUAGUGUUGGAGCUAGGGUUAGGGUUGGGCUUGGAGCUAGGAUUUUUCUGAGUGCAAUGAACCAACUCCCGAGUCUCUAGGACGUUCCUAAAAAAAAUUUGAUUUUUUCCCAUAGGAAUGCAUGGGUUAGGGUUAGGGUUAGGGUUGGAGCUAGGGUUAGGGUUAGGGUUGGAGUUAGGGUUAGUGUUGGAGCUAGGGUUAGGGUUGGGCUUGGAGCUAGGAUUUUUCUGAGUGCAAUGAACCAACUCCCGAGUCUCUAGGACGUUCCUAAAAAAAUUUGAUUUUUUCCCAUAGGAAUGCAUGGGUUAGGGUUAUGGUUAGGGUUGGAGCUAGGGUUAGGGUUAGGGUUAGGGUUGGAGUUAGGGUUAGUGUUGGAGCUAGGGUUAGGGUUGGGCUUGGAGCUAGGAUUUUUCUGAGUGCAAUGAACCAACUCCCGAGUCUCUAGGACGUUCCUAAAAAAAUUUUAUUUUUUUCCCAUAGGAAUGCAUGGGUUAGGGUUAGGGUUAGGGUUGGAGCUAGGGUUAGGGUUAGGGUUAGGGUUGGAGUUAGGGUUAGUGUUGGAGCUAGGGUAAGGUUUGGGCUUGGAGCUAGGAUUUUUCUGAGUGCAAUGAACCAACUCCCGAGUCUCUAGGACGUUCCUAAAAAAAUUUGAUUCUUUCCCAUAGGAAUGCAUGGGUUAGGGUUAGGGUUAGGGUUGGAGCUAGGGUUAGGGUUAGGGUUAGGGUUGGAGUUAGGGUUAGUGUUGGAGCUAGGGUUAGGGUUGGGCUUGGAGCUAGGAUUUUUCUGAGUGCAAUGAACCAACUCCCGAGUCUCUAGGAUGUUCCUAAAAAAAUUUGAUUUUUUCCCAUAGGAAUGCAUGGGUUAGGGUUAGGGUUAGGGUUGGAGCUAGGGUUAGGGUUAGGGUUAGGGUUGGAGUUAGGGUUAGUGUUGGAGCUAGGGUUAGGGUUGGGCUUGGAGCUAGGAUUUUUCUGAGUGCAAUGAACCAACUCCCCUGUCUCUAGGAUGUUCCUAAAAAAAUUUGAUUUUUUCCCAUAGGAAUGCAUGGGUUAGGGUUAGGGUUAGGGUUGGAGCUAGGGUUAGGGUUAGGGUUGGUGCUAGGGUUAGGGUUAGGGUUAAACAAAUGUUUUUAAAAAACAGCUGAUCAAAACAGAGGGUAUUUUUAACCCAAAGCAGACAUCUAUCCCCUCAUUUUAAGUGGCAUUAAACAAUGCAGUUAUGGUAGAAAUUGAUUUAAGUAGGUUUUUUAAUUGCCUGCUAACGGCCAGGCUUUGUGAGUUGUUUCAGAUAUGAAGUGAUUAACUCUGAUUGGUCAGUGUUAUUUUGCUUCAAAUUUUUUGCUCCUCCUGGCUUCCUUUUUAAGUUGAAAAUAUUACCUUAUCAUAUAGUUGAAAUGUACAGAAAGAGAUGUGUGCAUGACAUAAAAAUACAAUCCAUAGUUUAUAAAAGCUUGUAUAAAAAAAUACGCCAGUAGGCCAUCUCAUCUACCCACCACCUUAGCCUGCAUGUCUGAAAGUUAGUUUCGGACCCUAGUGAUAGUUUAUCCCUGAUUGUUAUGUCUGCUUUUGUAGGUCAUACCAAGGCAUCAAUGUUAAUUUGAGUGUUUCAAAACAAAGCUAAAACUCCUUACUGAAGCUUUAACAGUGGGUCCCUAAGGCUUUGUUAUUGUUGUUAUCUGCCUGAUGCCUUAAAACAACAUCAAACUAUUAUAGGUGAAGGCAGAAAACUUAAAAAAUGAGAUUAUUUUUUGAAGGUCCAUAAUGAUGAGUCACUUAUUUAUCACAUUUAAAUUUCUUAAUGCCAUUUAACCCUCAUGGAAAUAUUAACUGCAUCUAUUUCAACUCAGCAGCAAUCAUUUCAUCUGUUCGGUUUACGUCUUCUCAGGUCUGACUGACUGCAAAAAUAGCAGCAUUCAAAACUAAAGAGAUAAAAACUAUUUUAUCUUUUUGAGACUCUGAGAGGUCGCAGAGAAACCAACUCCAGUUUGAAGGAAUCACACACUCAGGCGUUUCAUGUUUCCUCUCAAGACUCCACCACCAAAGUACUUUCAGAUCCAGGACAAACAUGACUGCUAGUGCUGAUGCUGAUGAUGUAGACAGCUGUAAUGAUGAUAGUUAUUUUCAUCACACACCCCAUUAUCAAGGCUGCAGGGCUGUAAGGUCAACUCCUCCACCAUCAGAGCUCCACACACGCAUCUUAAGAUGCCAUGAAAUGACCAGAGCGUGUCAUCCCACCGCCCUGCUAACCAAUGAAGUUUACCCUCGCUUCACAGCUUCCUCAUCACACCACGCUCCGUCAGCCGGGCCAACACUCUCUACAGCCUGACCACUUGAAAUUGCAGUUUCCACCACUAGAGAUGUGACUCAGAAAGUGUCAGUCUUAACAGCCAAUAUGACAAGGAGCUGACUUUAAGGGCUGGAGCUUAUCCUCCAGUCAUGCGCCACACUAAAAAGUCAGACUCCAGCUCUGACUUUCCUGUUCUGUGGAUACACUGUGUGGUUCUGCUUCCUCCCCCCUCUAUAAUAAAACUCAUUAUGUAUCCAGUCAGUUGCUGAAUUCAAAUCACCUCACAGAGCGACACGCUGUGUGGUGAAUAAAGUCAGAAGUCACCUCAUGCCAAAUGAGGGGACGCUCUCGUGGCUGAUGGAAACGCUUUCUCUGCCAUCUGUCUGCAGUCCUUGCCACCAGUUCUGGCGCAGCAGAGCAAAUAAAUAGAGGCAUCCUCAGACAUCUCAUCACUCUAACCUGGCAACACGAAUUUGAAUCCAUCAUCUCUGAACAGACACUAUGAUUUCUGGCUGCUGAGCAGUUUAUUUUUGUUGUUGGGUAUUUUAGAAUUAGACCUUAUUUUGGUGAACAGAUGGCAGACUAAAUCCUGUUGAAUCCCAGUCUUGAAAAUGUCAUUUAGACAGAGCCCAGAACUCUCCUGAACUGUGACUUCUGGAAUCUAUUGAUCACAGAAAUGUGGAUUUAUUUAAUCCUCAUUUUUCACUGACUUUACUGAUAAAUGGCAAAGAGAGGGGUUUUUUUUAUACACCAGGCUGAAAAGCAGAGUAUGACUCACCACUUUGGAGGAGAGUUUGGAGCUCAUUUCACCUCUGACUUCUUUCACUGACAGGUGUGUGAUAGGAGAGAGCUUUGUGUCACCUGUAACCGCACCAGUGAUGGAGCACAUCUGUUAUCACUAUCUGAAGGCUGAAUGAUGCUAAAUGAGGUUUUUAAAAAUAAGGAAAACUGCUAAUCUGAGCGCUUAUUCACAGAUUUUACACAUUGCUGAUCUGAACAUAUUACAAGUGGUUCAGAAAAUACAUGUGAAAAUCUCAACUGCUGCGAGACUUCGUUCUAUUAACUCAACUAACACUGGAAACUUGUAUUGUCCUUGUGUUAUUUGUUCAAGAAACAAGUUCCGGUAACACAUUACAAUAACCAUAACUUAUAAAUGGUAAAUAGACCAUUCAUAAACGGUAAGCUGAUAGUUUAUAAAUGUUUAAUUAUCAUUUAUAAAUAGCAUAUAGACCAUUCAUACAUUGUAAACUGUACAAUUUUAAAAACCUAAUCCUAACUUUACAAUAACCAUCUAAGUAAUGUUUAUAGGUGGUUUAUAAACCAUUUAAUUAUCAUUUACAAAGUAUUACAAACAUCAGUUGCAACUUUACAAUAACCGUCUAAGAAAUGUUCAUAGAUGGUUUAAAAACCAAGUAUUAACCAUUUACAAAGUGCUACUGACACACAUUUUAAUCUAGAUGUUUUACAACCAGUAUUUAAACCCUAUAUAAACCUUUAAUAUAUACUCCAUUAAUAAUUAAUGAAAAUGAUUAAUCAUAAUUUCAUUGCUUAAAGUAACUAUUACCUUACAUUAAUAAACUAUCUAUUUGCCAUUUAUGAUUGGUCUAUAUGCUGUUUUUCUUAAUGAUGAUUAAACAUUCAGUAACUAUCUAUUUACCAUUUAUAAAUUAUGGUUAUUGUAAAGUGGGCGGCACAGUGGUGUAGUGGUUAGUGCUGUUGCCGCACAUCAAGAAGGUCCUGGGUUCGAAUCUGGAUUAGGGUGUUUCUGUGUGGAGUUUGCAUGUUCUCCCUGUUACUGUGUGGGUUUACUCUGGUUACUCCGGUUUCCUUCCACAUCCCAAAACAUGCAGAAGUGGGGCUAGGUUGAUUGGCCACUUUCAAAUUGCACAUAGGUGUGAAUGUGAGCGUGGAUGGUUUUUUGUCUCUAUAUGUCAGCCCUGCGACUUGUCCAGGGUGUCCCCUGCCUUUGCCCGAAGAUGCUGGGAUAGGCUCCAGCAACCCCAGGAACGGGAUUAAGCAGUAGAAAAUGGAUGGAUCAAUUUAUUGUAAAGUGCUUCCCAAGUUCCUAACUUCCUAUAAGAGCUCACGAUGAAAAGUUAACAAGUCUAAAGUCAGAAACUAUUUUUUCCCGUCAUCAGUAUUUGUUAACUCAGAAUCUGAGCCUGAACAUGUUUGAGCCGGAGAGGACUCAAUCAAUAGAGACUGAUUUUGAAAUAUGGCUGCAGCACGGACUGAAAGCGAGCCUGCCCCAUCCUUUGAUAAUCCUCAGGGGGUUUAUGAGCAAAUCUGACGCUGAUUCUUGGUUAUCUCCGUCUUCCCGUCCUUUCGAUCCAGCCCUGCUAUUUAUCUGCCUAUCUGAGUGCUACACAUAAAUCGCUUUCAAACACCAGCAGCCUCAAAGAGCCAGACAGAGGGCUGCUUUUGAUCCCAGAUGUCAUUGAGACUUUUUUUUGCAGCUUUGGGGGUGGCAUUUUGAAGGCUAUGAAAGAGGAACAUAGCUUCGGUCAGCAGAUGGGGGAAAUGGGGGAAAUGUCACCGAUAAGCACUGACUCUCAGGAGUCUUAUGUAACACUGUACGUUACUGUCACCGGGGACGAAUUAUGACCUUAUAUAGAGAUUGCUGAGAUAGUUUAAGUCAAAAUAGAAAACACACAAUGAAGUGUCCUUGAGCGAAAGACUUUCCUUUUUUUAGCAGGUUUCUCCUCUGUAGUUCAACCAACAAGAGAUCCUCUUUCAUUUCCUCUGUUUGUUUUACAAAGUUUAUAGCCAGAAUCUGCAGUCUUUAGCUUUUCAUUCGUCAUGUAUUGCAAACUGCUGGUUUCAUGGGAGAUAUAUUUUUGGUAUCAUCAGGCCUGGUUGUUUAUAUACGAAAUGUUUAUCUUUAUUUUCUGUAAAAAACGAUGAACAUGUUGAUUUUCUCUCAUGGCUUUGGAAGCAAACAUCGAUUUGUUUGUGUGAUUCAUAAAUAUUAUGUUAAUUUUGUUUAUCUGUUAUUUUAUACAUGUGCUGCUCAAGACAGAGUGUACCCGAGUAAAAGGAGAUGAACACAAAAGCAGAGCUUAUAUAAGCAGGUUCAGUCACUGUUUCAUCUUUAUUGUGUUUUUAAAGGCUGAUUUAUUUGCCCAAUGCUUUCAAGUCUGCUGUAUCAAGUAGUCAUCCUUUCUCAGCUUUGGAAACAUUACCUCUUGUUCUGCUCAUAAAAGUCGAAAGUCCAUGCAACAAAUACUGGAGAUCAGAUAGAGGAAAUGCAACAGUGAAGAUGUAAAUCUAUACGGGAUAAGUGCAGCCGAAGAGCGAUGCUGUUUGUCUUGGUGAGCAUGCACAAGGUCAAAGGGUUUCCAUAAUGGGAGACCCGCACGGCUGAUUUACUGCAGCGCACACAAAUGAGGAGUGAUCACGCCUGAACCAUGAAGACUUGGAGUGUUUCCCAGCAUCUCUUCGAGCGCUCCUUCAGGCUGGGUCAUCCACCAGUUCCUCUGAGCUGUGACAUGCUCUCAAGCAGAAGUGUGGUCAGUUUUUUUUUUUUUUUUUUACUGCAAGAGUCACGGGGCCACUGUGGAGCGAAUGCAAUGAAAGGGGUAAUGUUAUGUACAGGCACAGAUUCAUCUGGACAACAGCGGAGAAAGGCCGUCUGUUUUUCUUGAUACAUCACACGCUCUGUCGUGACAUCCAAAUAAGAGAAGCUCAUACAUAUCACAUUAGAGCAGUCGCCUCUGGAGGCCCGUCCAGUUAUCUGGGUGAGCUCCUCUGGCGCCGAGUGAUGUCGAUUGGAAAUGAGAGUGCGUCGCCGGCUACUAGGCAACUGCAACUUAGCGCGAAUUAGCAACAAUGCAAGAUAAGUUCUCAAUCUCCACUAAUAUUAAUCAGCCUCAUCUUUGUUAUGUAAAUAUGGAGAUUGAAUUUGAAGGUAAUGAAGAGUGAGGCAGCUCCUUCUUCCUAAAGGAUGUGUUUCUUGAAUCUGACAUCAAAGCCAAACAGCUCUUUCAGCUGCCAAAGAAAAUUAAUGAUGCUUUUUUUAACGCUGUCACUCAAUCUUUUCGACAUGAUGACUCCGGAAAAACGCUCAAAAAACUGUGUUGGGCCUCACGCUGACUCACAUCAAUCCGAAGGAGAAAACAAUGCGAACGAUACAAAGCGAUGGAGAACAACAAAAGAUGUUCCAGUGUGGGUUUUCUCGAGGUGGUUGAGGGAGGCCUCGGUGUGUGGAUGUGGCAGAGAGGCAGAGUGUGGGCUUCUUUUCACACGUUUUCUCUCCACAGGCUCACAAGUGACAGCUGAGGAAAGACACCAAUGUGUCUCCUUCCCUCACCGUUAGCGUCCUCUGCCGCGGGCAAAUGUCAGUCAAAGACGUCAUCCUCGUGUUUGGCCUUUGAAUGCAUCAUCUGUAUCCCCUUCAUCUCCGGUCUCUUUGUUUGUUAAGUAUCAUCCUUUUUGAGUUGUUGUUCUGUUGCAUCAUAUUAUGCAAGAUUUAUGUUUCUUUGGGUUCAAGUUAUUUUGAUUUUUUUUAAUGAUUAGUCGACAGCGUUCACUAACAGGCCUUGUAAGUGCUUUCAGACACUAUUUUUACAGCACCAUCCAGUUAGGGGUGAUGGUAAAUGGUUUCACAGGGACGGGAAAGGAGGAGGGGGUUGUUAACCCUGUGUAGUAUGUUGACAUGCUGCAGGUGGUGGCCUGUUGAAUGUCCAGCUGAGCCAGGAAUGUGGAGGCCCUUUGGGUGCAAGCUGGGGAGGGUUUUCCUAAAGAGCAAAUGCAGCUACUAUGUGCGUAUUGAAAGGAUGACUAAGCUUUUAGAUAUUGUUUAGAGCAUUAAAGCACCAUAAAAGGCCUCAGAGCUUUCAACUGCAUGGUAAAAAUACUGCCUGGUCUUUGGGUCAUGAUGAGGGGUGUUUAGUUCAGUGACAGCCUGGGGAUUAGCAUAAUGGCAGCAAGCUAAGCUACACCAUCGGAGGACCCUUUCUCUUUAGGCCCUGGGGGUCUUCAACUGAUUUAUUGCUGUCCCCCCUGACUGCCUGCAUCUAUCUUUAGCUGUGCAGACUUUUAUGAGCUGGCUGAAGCGAAGGCUUGCUGUGGCACUGUUGUCAGUGCUCACCACAGACGCUGUGACUGACCUCCUCUGCGGCUCGUGCUUCCACAGGUUGUGCGGAGCUCAGUUUGCAGGGAACCCUGCAGAGAUUGGCAUGUGUCAGAGGAAUUCAGGGGUCUAGUAGCUGUUGUUUUUAAGACUCCUGACUGCUACUGUCUUCUAGCUUCCCAGCAGUGGAAUCUAGAUUUACUCAACUGCCAAAUUUAAGCACAAAGAGUUUCCACCUCAUCAUAAAUCAAUCCCCAUUAUGGUCAGUGGGGAUUUCGCUUAAUUUUUUAUUUAUUUGACUGCAAAUCUAACAUUCGAAGCAUUUGAUGAUAAUAGCGAUGAAAUGUCAUACAUUCACUUUCUUCAAAGUGUGUCAAAUAGAGCUGAAAUGAUUACUGAUUGCAGAGCUGCCAAGCAUCACGCUUCGAGUGUGACAGUCAUGCAAUUUUAUCCAUUCUCACACCACUCGCCACACUUGACUUUUCUCAUGCUUAUUUUCCCCAUUCAAUACUCUGUAUUUAUUUUUUUCAUGAUAAUAAACUUCGUAGUUUGAGUAACUCUGAUUGACUGACCAAGAUAAUCAAUCCCAGAACAAUCCAUCAGUCCUUUGUGCCUAAUGCUGCGUUCGAGUUACCUCGGAAGUCAGAUGUCGGAACUGAAAAUGACGUCAUACCCAAGUUACCAGCGUUCCAGUUACCAAGUCAGAAAAAUGAAAAAUCGAAGGCCUGACACAAGGUAGCUACGACUACAAAAGUUACCUUAGUGCUUGCCUUAUAUCUGGACAAGGCAAGCGCUAAAAACACUUUUGUAGAUGUAGCCAUCUUAUUACUGCCUUCUCUUUUGCUUUUUUCUGACUUUGUAACUGAAACGCUGAGGGUUUUUUGGGGUCUUGGCGUCUCUAACCAUCUUUCACACACAACAGUGUCGACAUUUAAAACCCAAAAUUCUUGUUACAAUUUUUAUUUCUAAUUUCUGGAUCUUAAUUAAGAUCAGGGAGAGCAGCUGGCACGGAGGUGAGGACAUCAGUCUCAGUAUAAAUCAACGUUAAAAACGGCAAAAAAAAAAUUUGUUGCAUGGCUGAACACAUCAUAACGCAAAAGUGUCACUCUUGUAAUUUUCUGAAACUUGGCAGCCCUGUGAUUGGCAGGAACUGAACCAAUACUGAUAGAACUCUAAAUCUAUUCUUACCCAGUUAUGUUUGAAGGAAAACAUAUGAUCAGUAUAAUCCAUUAGAUGCAGCCUUUUGGCCCCUCACCCCAGUCCUAAUUGUGAGGAAAUGGCUCCAUGCUGACCUAUGAAAACAGUUAUAUGCAGCUUACUCAUAGAUGCAUCAUCAUCAGCGCCUCAUAGAGGUCAUUAAUGCGCAUAAACUCUCAGUUUUGAUUCCGACCGAAGUAUAAGAUCUAAAUUUAACUUAUGAUCAAACCUUUUUUUAUGCUAAUCACAGAAAAAGCUGGAGGUUGUUAACGGCUGAUGAUGCAGUGCUUGAGUAAUAAGAGGAAAUCUCUGCUUUUAAGCUCAGGUUAGGUCACUGUUGGAUUAAUAACUACACUGAAAAUACACUCUGGCAGCUUUGAAGUGGGGGAUAAAACGUUUUCAGUGGCAGACAAAACCUUUUACCUCACUGAAGUGGUGCGACAAUUGCUUUAAGCCCCGCGAUUGGUCAGAACAUCAGCACUCCUCCUUUUCAUUGACUGACUACAAUACACAGAGUGACGGAAGAUAAUUGGACCAUGUUUGUUCAACUGUGAUGUUGGUAUAGUAUUAGUAAACUUAAAUUAGCUUCAGUUUGAUCAUUUCUAUUGAUAUGAAGUUUGUCUUUUUACUAAUCGUAUCAGUGAGCAGUACAGGCUGGAUGAAAGUAAUAGUGUUUAGUCUAGAUAUUCUUAUCUAGAAUCUCAACCAGUAAGUGAAAAACUUUUAAAAUUAAUAAACUUUUGUUUCCCAAGUUUUUACUUGUUGUUCUUUAAAUAUCUUUCCUUGUUUAAACUACUUUAAUAUUUAUUUUUUUCUCUCAUUACUAUUCCAUGUUUAGUUGUUGUGUAUAUGUCCCUUAGUGUAAAUGUUUCCCCACUGUCUCUUUGCAAGUUAUUAAACCUAGAGUUUCAAUGACAUUUUCAAUGCCUGCCUUUUAUUUUGAUGGGGGAGGGGAAACAUACAGACUAAUUUACAGUUUGUAAACUAUGAUGCUGUACUGGACUUAAGGGUUAUGGGCUUUUGACCAAUCAGAAUAAAGUAUUUUGGUAAUACUAUAUGUUUUAAUCGAUGUGAAUGUUCUUUUUACAUUUACAAUCAUGUAUAGUUUUAGGAUCACUUAACCAUUCGGGCAUGUUAUUGAUGAAGAUAAAACACUUUUUGUAGGUCCAGAGUCCCUCAAGUAAACUCAUCAAUCUUAUCACAUUUAUCAGAAGAGGAACAACAACAACAAGAAAAAGAAAAUAUUUAUUGAUCCCCUAAAGAGAAAUUCAAUACUUUAUUACUAUUUUUGUUAAACAGUUGUGAAAAUUUCACCCUAAAACAGUCUGCAUGCUUAGCUCAUCUAGCAAUGAACAUUAUAAAUCAUGUUGGUUUAUAAAUGCUGUAAUGCAUGACAUUGCUUUGCAUGUAUCCCCAUUUUGUAUCCCCAAGUAGUAGUGCAACUUUUCUUCAAAAGAUGUCACAACUCCAAAUAACUUAGAGUUAAUAAGGGCCAAGCAAACACAACAGAUCUGAGGUUUCCUCUAUAGAAUCAAUAGCUGUACGGGAAAGCUUUGUGCACACUCACAGAUUUAUCUCCCCCAAACACAAGUCUGGCACACAGCCUCCAUAUGGUGUGUUUUACACUGUGGGAGGAACGUGCUUUCUCAAACUUGCUUCCAUUAAACACAUUCCUCUCAAACAGCCUGAUAACGGCAUGCUAGCAGGUCCCAGCUCUCUAGUUAUGUGACUCAUCACUCAGGUGUGUUUACAGCUUAUUACACAAAAAGAAGCAGAAGAGCUCCUCCGGAGACAUAUUACCACGUUUGGAACUGGAAAAAAAAAAAGCCAAAUCGACACGUCCUCUCACAAAGUUAGUUAUUCAGCGCAAAUGUGUCACGGGUGAUGACCUUUCAAAACAUGAGCUUUUGCUAGCACAAACAUGCGGGUAAAGCAGCAGGGACCGAGAGAACGAGGCUGUGUUUACGCAUGUGUUAGACUGAGAAGUGGGGUCAUUUCAUCUCCCACAGAACCAACAAUUACAUCCCACCUCAAGCAGUAUAUGAGUUUGUUGCUUUAGUGCAGCUGGGGAGGAAAGACGGCUAUUUGUUGUCUGAGAGGCUGAGAGAUGAGAGGGAUUCUCCACAGCUUACAUAACCUGUCUCUCUCCAUUCAAAGCAGGAAGGCCUUUGUCCAUUACGCCAGAUGGAUAUCAACCCUUAUUUAUUACUGAUAUGAACACUAGAUUUGACGCAAAGCAGCAAAAACAACCAGAAAACCUAACUGCAAAGAACAGAUAUCUACUUUUACACUCUAAGUUAGAAAACAUCACAUUCCUCAGUGCAAGUAAAAUAAACACACCCAGGAAGAAAAAAGAGAAGUGCAGACUUUUUUAGUCAUGACAACAUUACAGCUGUUGAGUUACUGCACCUUGAUGGCACAGUGUUAGACAGCUGUGAACGGCUGCGGUGUGAAAAGAGACGCCUCUAUUCCACCUGAGAAAUUAGCACAGGGGUUGGUGGAGAAUAGCAGAGUCUCAAUUUCCUCCAUGAAAUGAGUUGAUAUAUGAGAGAUCUGGAGAGGAUUUGGUGAAAUGACAAGCAGAGAAAUAACAUCACGAAACAAUAGCUGUCUUUUUUUCUACUCGGGGUGUUAACUCAAACACCUCAGAGCCUUUUUUUCAUGAUCUGAUGACAUUAAAGUGAAAAAAAAACCUCUCCUGUCUUUCAGUUUACAAAACAGAAAUUGUACAGCCGAACCCAGCAGGGGGGAGUGUUUGCUUUCUACCCUGUCUCUGCCUUCCCUGUCCUCUUUCUAACAUUUCUCUUUUACAGUUUUUUUUCUUUCUCUCUCUCUUCCCAUGAGGAUAAGCUGGGCGGUGACAGAUGUAAUGGAAGAGGCUGGUUCUUGGAUUUUGUAGCAAUCUGUCGAGCCUCUCUGGAGGUUCACAGGCUGAACUUGACAAAACACGACUAAGGGCUGCCCACUUGAUAACCCUAGUGAUGUUUUGGCUUUUGCUGCUCGUCUAUACUCAUGUUCAGAGUGUGGAGGAGGAGCCUAUGUGGUUGGGUAGGUCCUAACAGCUUUGUCAGUUCCUGGAGCUCCGAGAAGGUGGGGAGGUGUGGCCACAGACUUGUACCUUAAAGGGAUAUUCCGAGGUAAAAUUAAGUUAGCGUCAAACACACCGUAACACCAAGUUAGACACCCCCUCGAGAGAUGAAUGUUGCCGACUGCUUGCUUAUAGUUAUACCAACUUUUGUAACGACCGUACGAUAGCAAUAUACAGCGGUCUCAGGAGCCACACGCUCAACCAAAAUGCCACUCUAUAGCCACAAAUAAUGCUCAGAACAGCACCUAACUUCAUCAACAGUACAUACAGGGUCCCAGCCAUAGCACUACCCACCAAACAUCUUUUUAUCUUUGCCUGAUUUCUUUAGCAAAGAGACUAAACACAACUCACCCACUCUCUUCCAGCAGCCACUUGUUUGUAUGGAGACCUCAGACAAGUCCAUUACAGACUGCCGAGUGGGGUGACGCAGCUCAAGGAAGAACAUAUAUGAUCAUUACUUUGUCAUUUCCUUAAAGCUAUAAUCACCAUAUUUAUCAUUUUGUACUGCAGACACGGUAGUUCUUCUGCCUACUAGAGAAACAAGCAGUCAGCAACAUUCGUCUCUUGACGGGUGUCUAACUUGGUGUUAUGGUGUGUUUGAUCCUAACUUAAUUUUACCCCGUAAUAUCCCUUUAAUGUCUGACUGUGUGUGUAUGUAGAGCUGUGUAUUUACAAGCUGUUUCUCUUGCACUUAUGCAAUAACAUAAUGCAAAUUGAAAUCUACUUAUUAAUGAAUGAAUUAAGCCAAGUUACAUUUCCAAAACAGCAUGUCUUAAUUUGAAGUCUUUAUUGUGUCUGUAACAAUUUUUCUUCACAGAUACAUGUCGUUAUAUUGAUAACUGAGAUUGUCAAUUUGCCACAGCUUUCUUUCUUUGUUAUGAGCUCUCUGGGCUACCGUACGUGACUGUGGUCGUUAACAAUGUUUCUCACACAGCACACCUGGAAGAUGACGGCAAAGCAGCAUUCCAGGCUAUGACCCCUGACCUUCUGUUCACCUCACAGACACAUGUCUUGUAAGUGUAACACAUUCAGGGGCUUUUUUUCACCCUCACUGUCAGCUCGUCUUUGGAUCACAGUGCAGCACUUUCAUUCUGGCUCUUCAGUCUAAGCAGCCCAAAAAUGCUGAAAGACUGGGCCCACUGACCGAUUUUUGGCUUGUUGAUGGAUUGAAAUCGACAGCAAAUUUGUAAAAAUGUAAAAGAUAUAAAGGCUUUUUAAAUGGAUUGUCUAAUUGUUUUGACUGGUGGUUGGAAAGAAAUCUAGAGAUCUAUUGAGAGGCGAAGCAAAUCGUACUGGUUGGAUAACAAAGACGAGGAGAGUGGGUGAAAGGAUUUGUUGUAAAAGAAAUUUCUGAUCAUUAAAACUUGACAAAUGAAGGAUCACUUUUCAUGCAUCAUAGCAGCUUGUUUUAUUUGAAGGCCACUGUCACUUCACUGACAGGAAAGUGAGCAGGAGAGCGUUUCAAUCCAGGAACUGUCAGCUUCUUCCUGUUAAAUGCAACUUUAAAUCAAAGAGAAGCUGAUGGGAGCAAUAAAAACUAAGAUACUUUAAAGGACACAUCACAUUGGGGGUCUUGCUCCAACCUGCCUGAAUACCAUUCUGCUAGAAUAAUAUCCUCACCAUACAUCAUCCCUGUAAUACUCAGCUGCUGUCUUUGUAGGUUAUAUUUUCAGGCUUUUAUGCUUUUACUCAAAGUUAACUAGACGGUGGAGCGAGCAGGAAACCAGGUGAGAGGGUGAAAAUUAAUAUCCUGAAAGAAUCUGCAGAUUAGAAUCAGAGCCUGGUCACCUGCUUGGAAACAGCCUCUGUGCAAUAUUACUCUACUACUUGGCCGUAACAGUGCUUCAAUAGUUUGCUGUUAAAUACUCAAUCCUGAUUGGUCAAACUCCACUAAAACUGUGAUUAAUUCUUAAUUAACAAAAACAACAUCAGGACAACAUCCAUCUUAAUAAUUCAAUAUGCUGACCACAGAUGGCACAGAUCCUGAGGGGCUGCAGGGUCCUAGCAAUCUCUGAAACGUAGAGCAAGAUCCUGUCCUGCAAUCCAGGCAAUGGCAGCAGAGCCAAUGAGUGCAUUUCCAACUUGCAAACCACCUGUUCUGUUAACGAAAUCCCUCACUUGCUGUUUUACUUCAGUUUUUUGAAUGCAAGUCUGACAUGCAAGUUUGUGCUGUUUCAGAGGAGAGAAAGAAAACAUAACCUUUACACAUACUGCCUAACUUACAGUUGUUCUUUAACUUGCCUCAACAGUUAUAAAAGUUAAACUACAAACAAACCAAAUGUACAAAUAUGCUAAAAGUGCUUCAAAUUAUCAAGAGUGGGUUGUAGGACUCAUUAGAAUAGGAUAGUAUUUCUGCAGGUUUGUUACGUGACACAUUCUCUAAACUGAGAAACCAAUAGUGGCCAUGGUCAUCCUAAAUCCUAAACCAUGAUUGGCUAUUUGUUUAUCAGAGGAGGCCCUGCUUCAACAAGCUGCAAGUAUCUCCUGAUGUUCACAACACCUGGUCACCCAAAGGAAGUCAGCGCCCCAUUUUUGCCUCCUUGUCUCCACCUCAAACUUUAAACCGAAAGACUCAAGAAAAGAUUCAUCAAGAGUGAAUUAAUUGUAUGUCACGGCCGGGAUAUUGUUAGAAAAAAAGUUGAAAUACACCCACCCUAACCAUCUGAUUUUGACCGACUAAUGUAGGGAGGAAGGAAGUAUCAUUACUGCGUUUGCUAAGUCAAUUUCCUGAGCUCUUCUUCUAUCCGUCUCCAGUGUGAGCUGUGUGAUGAAUCUACAGCUCUGGAUAUGAUAUCAUGUUACAAUGUGAGACUACAUCGAUGUGAUGUGAAGUCUGUGUAUUGAUACCGCUGCUCAAGCGCAGGAUUAGCUGUGAGUUUUUUUUAUGAGACCGGAGAGGCUCAGAAAUAGAUUGCCUCUGGCCAAAAGCACUCACUCUCUCUCUCUCUCUCUUUCGUCCCUGUGCUGCCUCUCGGUCUUGCACCUCCCAGCACUCAUUCACAGCUCUCUUGGGACGGCAGGCCCAGGCAGGCGGCCAGCUGGUGAUGUCUCACUGGGACGGCGGCAGAGAAAAGGAGAGCACAGUCAGAUGUGGUAUCAAAGACAUCAGGGGCUCAAGGGUGGACGGUCUCCAGAGGCAUUGCGACAUACCUCCCCUGUUACUGCACUUACAGAAGCCCCCCUCUCAGGUUUCCAUAAGGGUCAUGCUUGUGUCUGCUGUGAUUGUAGCUUUAUGAAUGGUUACAUAAAUCUUCGUAUUCAAACCUGUGCGUGGGUGAUAAUGAUGCGCAAACAUAUGUCUGGGUAUACCCAAGAUACCUUUCUCUGUUUCUUCACUCUCUCUCUUUCUCUCUCUCUGUGAGUGUAUUACAGGAAAACAGUGACUAAUGUCUGCCCUCUUCUCUUCCGUAAGCUGAUAUGUCCCUAAGGCGAAUGAGAGAAGGCACCAGCCUUUUUCUCUGCCCAAAGAUGCUUCAGAGGCACUGCAAAGACCGCACAUGAACCUCUCAGGAUGGCUCACAUGGACUUCCACGAUCGUGAACUUAAUCGCGCACGUGAACGUCCACUCUUCUGUGCACUCAGAGCGUCUAUCUCUGAAUGCCGUAAGGUUAACUUGGCGCCCAUUACCUAACCCGCAACAUCCAGGGGAGAUGACCCGUGUAGUGCUCAGACAACGCAGGCUGAAACUGGUAGUGCAGCAUUACUCACUCUGAGUAAACAUGGGAAUAGUAACAGGAGUGAAACACAUUCAAACCGAAUGAUGCUCACAUAGCCAUGGUGAUGACGUUAUUAGUGUGUAUAGGGACAAGCAUUGAUAAGGGGUAUUGAAAACAUAGGCUCAUUUUAAUGCAAAACUAAUUGGGGAUGUUCUGGGUCUUCUUAUCCAAACGCAUGAAUGCCCUUUCCUUGAGCGUGAGUACUGCUUUUUUAGGUUGAACAUACUCUCUGUGGUCAUGGACAGGGUCUCAGAAGGUGACACUUAAUUUACCACUCUCAUAAUGGGCGCAGUGUCUGCUGCAUACAUAAUUAAUCAAUCACUGUUUUCCACAUUGAUAACAGCACGACCCCGGCCCUCACCUCGUCUUUGAAUACUGAUUGCCGCUUACAAUUACUGCGGGGCAUGUAGCUUAGAGACUCAGACACAAGAGGUAGUGUUUCAUUCGAGGAACCAAAACAAUCCUCAGCUGAUAAGGCUAGAGAAGAGUUAGCACGAGCCUCACAACCAGGUAUCACAACAGUACAGAUACAUUAAAGUAUCUUAAACUCUCCAAACAUACCUUCACAAACGCAUU
Xyrichtys novacula (pearly razorfish) is the source of this 29006-nucleotide non-coding RNA. NCBI's taxonomy places the organism in Eukaryota, Metazoa, Chordata, Actinopteri, Labriformes, Labridae. The record is from the annotation of a GenBank genome assembly.